UCGCUACUACCGAUUGAAUGAUUUAGUGAGCUGCAGGGACUGCCGCGCUUGAUUGGGUUUCCUUUCUUGCGUGAUGGGAACUGCUACAAACUUGACCAUUUAGAGGAAGUAA
RNAcentral lists this ribosomal RNA (112 nucleotides) under uncultured eukaryote. RNAcentral describes it as "partial small subunit ribosomal RNA". It matches the Rfam family "Eukaryotic small subunit ribosomal RNA", at positions 1676 to 1785 of the family's 1831-position model. The record is from RNAcentral.